AGGAUUUUCCCUUCGGGGACAGUGGAUACAGGUGGUGCAUGGUUGUCGUCAGCUCGUGUCGUGAGAUGUUGGGUUAAGUCCCGCAACGAGCGCAACCCCUGUCGUUAGUUGCCAGCAUUCAGUUGGGGACUCUAACGAGACUGCCAGUGACAAACUGGAGGAAGGUGGGGAUGACGUCAAAUCAUCAUGCCCCUUAUGACCUGGGCUACACACGUGCUACAAUGGUUGGUACAAAGAGAAGCGAAGCGGUGACGUGGAGCAAACCUCAUAAAGCCAAUCUCAGUUCGGAUUGUAGGCUGCAACUCGCCUACAUGAAGUUGGAAUCGCUAGUAAUCGCGAAUCAGAAUGUCGCGGUGAAUACGUUCCCGGGUCUUGUACACACCG
Molecule: ribosomal RNA, 384 nt
Filed under: Clostridium sp. enrichment culture clone c-11
Lineage: Bacteria; Bacillati; Bacillota; Clostridia; Eubacteriales; Clostridiaceae
Also listed under: 1 other name
Description: bacterial SSU rRNA
Rfam family: Bacterial small subunit ribosomal RNA
Source: RNAcentral